AGCGAACGCUGGCGGCAGGCUUAACACAUGCAAGUCGAGCGCCUGUAGCAAUACAGGAGCGGCAGACGGGAGAGUAACACGUGGGAACGUACCCUUUGGUUCGGAACAACCCAGGGAAACUUGGACUAAUACCGGAUAAGCCCUAACGGGGAAAGAUUUAUCGCCAAAGGAUCGGCCCGCGUCUGAUUAGCUAGUUGGUGAGGUAACGGCUCACCAAGGCGACGAUCAGUAGCUGGUCNGAGAGGAUGAUCA
This 252-nucleotide ribosomal RNA is filed under the name uncultured bacterium. RNAcentral's name for it is "partial 16S ribosomal RNA". It matches the Rfam family "Bacterial small subunit ribosomal RNA", at positions 29 to 306 of the family's 1533-position model. The record is from RNAcentral.